Molecule: ribosomal RNA, 433 nt
Filed under: uncultured Mollicutes bacterium
Lineage: Bacteria; Bacillati; Mycoplasmatota; Mollicutes
Description: bacterial SSU rRNA
Rfam family: Bacterial small subunit ribosomal RNA
Source: RNAcentral
AAUUCGAAGCAACGCGAAGAACCUUACCAGGUCUUGACUAUACCAUUGACAGGCGCAGAGAUGUGCUCGUCCUUCGGGCAAUGGAUACAGGUGGUGCAUGGUUGUCGUCAGCUCGUGCCGUGAGGUGUUGGGUUAAAGUCCCGCAACGAGCGCAACCCUCAUUGUUAGUUACUACCAUUCAGUUGAGGACUCUAAUGAGACUGCCAACGAUAAGUUGGAGGAAGGUGGGAUGACGUCAAAUCAUCAUGCCCUUUAUGACCUGGGCUACAAACGUACUACAAUGGCCAAUACAAAGAGAUGCGAAGCGGUGACGUGGAGCGAACCUCAGAAAGUUGGUCUCAGUUCAGAUUGAAGUCUGCAACUCGACUUCAUGAAGGCGGAAUCGCUAGUAAUCGCGGGUCAGCAGACCGCGGUGAAUACGUUCCCGGGUUUU